Molecule: ribosomal RNA, 253 nt
Filed under: uncultured bacterium
Lineage: Bacteria
Description: partial 16S ribosomal RNA
Rfam family: Bacterial small subunit ribosomal RNA
Source: RNAcentral
UACGUAGGGGGCAAGCGUUGUCCGGAAUCAUUGGGCGUAAAGCGCGUGUAGGCGGCUCGAUAAGUCCGUUCUGAAAGUCCAGGGCUCAACCCUGGGAUGCGGAUGGAUACUGUCGAGCUCGAGUCCGGAAGAGGCGAGUGGAAUUCCUGGUGUAGCGGUGAAAUGCGUAGAGAUCGGCAGGAACACCCAGGGGGAAACCAGCCGACUGGGCAUCUACUGACGCUGAGGUGCGAGAGCGUGGGGAGCGAACCGG